RNAcentral lists this ribosomal RNA (267 nucleotides) under uncultured bacterium. RNAcentral's name for it is "partial 16S ribosomal RNA". It matches the Rfam family "Bacterial small subunit ribosomal RNA", at positions 793 to 1055 of the family's 1533-position model. The record is from RNAcentral.
GUCCACGCCGUAAACGAUGAGUGCUAAGUCUUAGAGGGUUUCCGCCCUUUAGUGCUGCAGCUAACGCAUUAAGCACUCCGCCUGGGGAGUACGGUCGCAAGACUGAAACUCAAAGGAAUUGACGGGGGCCCCGCACAAGCGGUGGAGCAUGUGGUUUAAUUCGAAGCAACGCGAAGAACCUUACCAGGUCUUGACAUCCUCUGACAACUCUAGAGAUAGAGCGUUCCCCUUCGGGGGACAGAGUGACAGGUGGUGCAUGGUUGUCGU